RNAcentral lists this long non-coding RNA (245 nucleotides) under Malus domestica (apple). RNAcentral describes it as "long non-coding RNA (MDOM_LNC019209)". The record is from RNAcentral. Lineage: Eukaryota; Viridiplantae; Streptophyta; Magnoliopsida; Rosales; Rosaceae.
UUUAAAUACUCACCUGAUAUUCACCUGUGCGUCCGCCGCACCAUUCAUUCAUAUGCAUCAUAUCUCAAUAUGCAUCAUAUCUCAAUUCAUACUUUUCAUAUCAUUUCAUGCAUGGCAAUUCGAUUCACAUUUAUAUAUAUAUAUUUCAUAUACUUCUAUGCAUGGCAUCUCAAUUCACAUUUUCACAUAAUUCUAUAUACCUUUCGUUUAAAACAUAAUUUCAUUCUAAUUCAAUUUCUGGGAAA